GUUGGCCCGAGCGCGUCUUGUGGAGCCUGCCGCGUGAGCGAUGAGGUUCUUCGGAUCUUAAAGCUCUGUUGUGAGGGAAGAACAAGUACGGGAGUAACUGCCCGUGCCUUGACGGUACCUUAUUAGAAAGCCACGGCUAACUACGUGCCAGCAGCCGCGGUAAUA
Molecule: ribosomal RNA, 165 nt
Filed under: uncultured bacterium
Lineage: Bacteria
Description: partial 16S ribosomal RNA
Rfam family: Bacterial small subunit ribosomal RNA (bases 34-165)
Source: RNAcentral